RNAcentral lists this ribosomal RNA (377 nucleotides) under uncultured organism. RNAcentral describes it as "partial 16S ribosomal RNA". It matches the Rfam family "Bacterial small subunit ribosomal RNA", at positions 527 to 897 of the family's 1533-position model. The record is from RNAcentral.
GUAGGUGGCAAGCGUUGUCCGGGAAUUAUUGGGGCGUAAAGCGCGCGCAGGCGGUUCUUUAAGUCUGAUGUGAAAGCCCACGGGCUCAACCGUGGGAGGGUCAUUGGAAACUGGAGAACUUGAGUACAGAAGAGGAAAGCGGAAUUCCACGUGUAGCGGUGAAAUGCGUAGAGAUGUGGAGGAACACCAGUGGCGAAGGCGGCUUUCUGGUCUGUAACUGACGCUGAGGCGCGAAAGCGUGGGGAGCAAACAGGAUUAGAUACCCUGGUAGUCCACGCCGUAAACGAUGAGUGCUAAGUGUUAGGGGGUUUCCGCCCCUUAGUGCUGCAGCUAACGCAUCAAGCACUCCGCCUGGGGAGUACGGCCGCAAAGGCUGA